This 256-nucleotide long non-coding RNA is filed under the name Phaseolus vulgaris (common bean). RNAcentral describes it as "long non-coding RNA (PVUL_LNC005159)". Lineage: Eukaryota; Viridiplantae; Streptophyta; Magnoliopsida; Fabales; Fabaceae. The record is from RNAcentral.
UUCACUUAGCAUAAAUUGGGUGUACUUAGCAUAAAUUGGGCUUGUGUCAAGCUCGCCUUUCAUGACAAGUGCACCUAGGGUUAGGGUUUUUUGACCUACCUUCUAGAAGGCUUCUCACAAAUGACGUCCCUACCCCUCUCACUCUUGCUCCCCAAGUCACUCUCUCUUAUAUAAAUGGUCCCUUGCCUAAUGUAAUUUACACAUUAUUGAACUUUGAAUAGAAAAGAAACUUUAUCAUAGUGUUUAGUGAACCGAG